ACGCAUCUGACAAUACACUUUUUUUAUGUUGACGUACUUUCUUACAUUUGUCUAUCUCUCUCGCCCGAUCUACUUUCUUUCUCUCUCUCCCCCCAACCAGUUUGAACGUGCAGAUCGGCGAUCUACGCUCUUUCACUCUCUUGUUUCUUUCUUUUCAUGUCUCUCCCCCCGAACGAAGAUCAGCUGAAGCUUUUGAGAAAACAGGACCCAACUGAGGGUAGCAGAACCGGAGCGAAGCUCUGUGAACAAACAACAACCAAACUGGUGAAUAACUCCAUCAACGUGCAGAUCGGCGAGACCCAGAAGUUUAAACACCGUGAACUCCGGCGAGCUUCAGUUCAGUACAGAGAUCUCCGGCGAGCUCUCUUACUCCCUCUACCAGACCAGGAAGCAAAUCGAACACUACCGACGCGCCGAACCAACUGAAGCUAGCAGAACCGGCGUGAAGCUCUGUGAGCAAACAACAACCAAACUGGUGAAUAACUCCAUCAACGUGCAGAUCGGCGAGACCCAGAAGUUUAAACACCAGUACAGAGAUCUCCGGCGAGCUCUCUUACUCUCUCUACCAGACCAGGAAGCAAAUCGAACACUACCACCGCGCCGAACCAACUGAAGCUAGCAGAACCAGCGUUACCAAACUGAACGGUGAAGAAGUGAAGACCGGCGAGACCCAGAAGUUUAAACACCAUGAACUCCGGCGAUUCAGUUCAGUACAGAGAUAAACCAAUCGCCGUGAACAGUUCCGGCGAGCCCAUUAACAAAUCCAGAAGUGCGCGUGCUCCUGUUUAGGCAAACUUCAGUUUCGGUGAGUCAAUCCGGCGAGACGAGAAGUUCCGGUGAGCUCCAGCGAAGCCUCAACCUUCUCGACCCAACUGCAGUAAUGUUUUCCGGCGUGUUUCAGCGAUGACCGACGCGAGCUACAACAAACAACGUCGACCAAACUUCAGAGACAAGUUUAAGUCCGGCACCUAGAGUUCUCUAACUCCGGCGAGGCUCAAUCCACUCCGGCGAGUUUCAGUGAGUUGCCGGUGCGAACUUCAGGCGUAGCUUCAGUUCGUAGCACCUCUGUUACGGUGACCAGGCUGUUUCGGCGAGCUUCAAUCACUCCCAACUGCUCAGGCGAGUUUCAGUGUGUUACCGGUCCAAACUUACAGAUCCAAAGUGAAAACCCAUAUCAGAUUCCGCAUAGAACCGGGUUUGGUAUUGGAGAGGAAAUUGCCGGUGCUUGUACCUUUAUUUUUGUGGACUGAUCACCUAUUCAGUGACGGUUGUAAUGCACACACCAAAUAUUAUAUCGAACAGGACCUCAACCCCCCCUUGGGCAUCUAUGUGAAAUUUGUGUUUGUUCCAUAGCCAGAUCUGAAUUUGAGAAAAAGGAAUCGAAAUCCAAGACAUCUGGCGGUUAUCCUAUGAGCACUGGUCUUGGGAUUUUGAAAACUUAUUCUAGUCAAACUCCUCAGCUGGUCAAUAUUUUUGGGUUGACGGGCAGCCAAGCAUUCCUUUUGCGCUCAGGCAGACUGAUCUCCGCUUCUGAUUUUGUUUCCAAGCUUGAGGCAUCUCCUGGUGGAAUAUACCUUUCCAAAGACGAAUAUUGCCAAUGGUUGGCUGCUGCUCCAAAAAAGGAUUUUAUGGUAGAGCUUUUAAUGGAAGGCUGGUUAUGCGUUGUUGGAACAAAUGUGAAAUUAUUAGAUUCUAUAAAGACUGUUGUUGGAGAAAGACCUAGUUCUAUUUGUGCAUACGUUGAUGGGUCUUAAUGGCUUCCUUUAAGCGCACUAAAGGAAGCCAUUAAGACCCAUCAACGUAUGCACAAAUAGAACUAGGUCUUUCUCCAACAACAGUCUUUAUAGAAUCUAAUAAUUUCACAUUUGUUCCAACAACGCAUAACCAGCCUUCCAUUAAAAGCUCUACCAUAAAAUCCUUUUUUGGAGCAGCAGCCAACCAUUGGCAAUAUUCGUCUUUGGAAAGGUAUAUUCCACCAGGAGAUGCCUCAAGCUUGGAAACAAAAUCAGAAGCGGAGAUCAGUCUGCCUGAGCGCAAAAGGAAUGCUUGGCUGCCCGUCAACCCAAAAAUAUUGACCAGCUGUAACAAUAUUAUAUUAGUACAAAAACAAUAUAAAAAAGGGCAUGAAAAUUAAAGAUGCAAAAAGCCUUUUGAGAAAAUGCAAAUACCCCAUCACCGGCGAAGCGGGUAUAGGUGUAGUAUUUGUGAAUGUAUUUGGAAAAUAUAUUAGUUAUGUUAGCAAGCGCGUGGGUCGUUUGAGUGAUCCCGAAGAAGCUGAACUAAGCGCACUAAAGGAAGCCAUUAAAAUUGCCAACGAUUCAAAUUAUAGUGACUUCAUUGUCUAUUCUGAUUCCUCGGACAUGGUUAAAGGGAUGAAGUUGAACCCGGCCAGCGAUAAAUUCUACGAAGCACAACUGAAAUUUCCUAAUAUCUAUGCGUGAGUACAUUUUGUUCCAUCAUUCUUUAGUCCAUUUUAUUUAUUUAUUUAUUUUUAUAAUUUGUUUUUAAUAUACUGAUUUUUUAUUUGAUCAGAAAUUUGCAUGCUGAGGCGUCUAAAAUCACGUGUUUCCGAAUAUCAUUUGUAUUCCGAGAGAGGAAAACCGCUGCCGAUUUUUGCGCUAACGCGGCUUUAAGGGAGCUCCGGUGUCCCAAAGAUUAUGUAGAGACUCUUGUCCUGAAAGAUCACACUGUGAAAAAUUUCAGGUUUUAUCGGAAAGUUCUUGCUAUAGAAGAGGUUGGCGGAAGAAAGUGGUCACCGCAGGUGGAGUGGUUGUUUCUUGACCUUCCAGAUUCCCACAAGGAAGGACUUUUGGUGGUUGUGAAAAUUCUGUUCCAUGGAAUGUCAUCUGAUACUAUUGAUACUUUAGGUGGUUUAUUAAUAUAUGUGGUUAUCAUACUUUUGAACAUGGUAUAUCUCGGUGGUUUAUUAUAUAGGUGAAUAUAUCUCUGUUUGGAUGUCACAUGUAUGAAUGUCAUGGGAAUAUCUCGGUGGUUUAUAUAAUGCGGGUGUCGGUUUAUUAUAUAGUUGAAUAUAUCUCUUUAAUUGCGAGAUUGUGGAUAUUAUAUGUAUGAACAUGUGUAGUGUAGUGUUUUAUUA
Molecule: RNA transcript, 3097 nt
Organism: Cornus florida
Lineage: Eukaryota; Viridiplantae; Streptophyta; Magnoliopsida; Cornales; Cornaceae
Exons: 7
Source: RefSeq, a predicted model, not a curated record